UCUAAUCAUUCAUUCAUUCCAUUCAGUGUGGCCAUUCCCUUGCGAACUGGCGUUUCAUAUCCAAAGGUUCGGUAUAACUUCUACACGCCGCUCGAACUUGCGUCAGACUGCUUUCGGCGGCAGAUGAUCUUCCUGCUCAGAGUGAACCAAGGUCGACGGCCGCGAAUUCCAUGGCGAAGCGACACCGUUCUAUAUUCGAACUCCAGCCUGAAUUUUUUCACUCCUGUCGCCUCCUUGCUUCCCCUCGAUUGUCCGCUUCCGACAAUCUUCAGAAUUGCUACAACUCAGUUCACGAAACCGUUGACCCUAUUGAGAAGGACGCUGAUGGCUUCCAAGACGUCGUUUUUUCAGUGCCCAGAUGGACUUGCAAUACUUGCAAGGCUCAAUUUGACUCCCUUCAAGACCAGCGUUUGCAUUUCAAAUCGGAUGUUCAUCGUUUCAAUGUGAAGUUGACAAUGGCUGGAAAGAGUAUUGUUAAGGAAGAAGAUUUUGGGCUGUUGACAUCUGAUUCUAUUAAAGACUAUGAUGUUUCGAGUAUAUCAGGAUCAGAAGAUGAUGAUGAUGGUGAUGAUGAUAUUGAAACUCGGAGACAAAAUGUUCGUGACAAAUUAAGUGAAAGUUUUAGGCAGAAGUUAAUUAUCUGCCUUCCGACAGGGGAAAGAGUUUCUAUUUGGAAGUGCUUAGUAAUGAACAUGGGUGACAAUAUACUGAAUGAGAACGAAGUGAUUGAGAGGUUGAAGUCCUUGACUCUUGAGCCCAGGAAUAAAUCUCGCUUGAGAAUUGUGCUGCUUGCAUCUGGUGGGCACUUUGCAGGUUGUGUGUUUGAUGGUGAUGAGCUUGUGGCUCACAAGACAUUCCACAGAUAUGUUGUGAGGGCUAAGGCAGGGAAAAAACAGUCAACAAAAGAUGCUACUGGUAGGGCUGCCCAUUCUGCAGGGGCUUCACUCCGCCGCCACAAUGAACUUGCAUUAAGGAAGGAAAUUCAAGAGCUGCUUACUGGUUGGAGAGCUUAUUUUGAUGCUUCGAAUUGCAUAUUCGUACAUGAUCCAUCAAGUAGUCGUCAAUUGCUCUUUGAUGGAGAGAGACCGUAUUUUAGUAACCAGCAUAAUGUUACUAGAAGCAUUCCAUUGACUGUCCGAAGGCCUACUUUGAGAGAAGCAAAGCGUGUGUAUAGCCAGUUGACUCAAGUAUCCUAUGAGGUAGAAGAGGAUUUAGGGUCAACUCCCAUUACUGUGAGAAAUGCCAACCCAGCCGUUGACAAAGAAGCAUUUACUAACUCAGAUAGCCAGGAUAAAAGUGAGGCUUGUUCAAGUAAACAAGAUGAUAGUGAACUCCUUAUUUCAAGUGCGAGUGAGAGCGAAAAUGGGAUAAUGGGUAAAUCAACUCCUUUGCAUCAAGCUGUGCAAUCUGGUGACUCUCACAAGGUUCUGAAGUUACUGGAACAGGGCAUAGAUCCUUGCAUUAAAGAUGAAAGAGGAAGGACCCCUUAUAUGUUGGCGCAUGAUAAAGAAGUGCGGAAUACUUUCAGAAGGUUCAUGGCAUCAAACCCUGAAAAAUGGGAUUGGCGUGCAGCAAAAGUGCCUAGUGCAUUGACCAAAGAAAUGGAAGAAUCACAAGCAGCCAAGCAGGCUGAAAAGGAUGCCAAGAGAAAAGCCAGAGCAAAAGAAUUAAAAAAAUUACGUAAAGCAAAAGAAAAAAGGGCUCAGGCUGAAGCUGCUAAGAAUGCUUCCAAAACUGCAGAAAACGAAGUGAAUGCUGUAACUUCUACUCAGAAAUUAUCUAAAGAGGAGGAACUGAGAAGAGCUCAGGCUGAAGAAAGAGAGAAGAGAGCUGGGGCUGCUGAGAGAAGACUUGCUGCCCUCAAGAUUCAAGGCAGCAGUGCGACAACCGUCUUGAGCACUUCAGAACCAAAAGAAUUUAUGUAAACUGAUGACUUGGAUCGUACGUCUCGGAAACCUCGCUUGCAAGGAAAGAUGUCAUUUUGCGGAUCGCCCUGAAGAAAUGUUGUAAGCAUGAAUGUUGAAAGAAAGAAAGGGAUUGAUGAGUGUGAACUCAAGUUGAGAAAGUUCACUAUUGUGAUAGGUAUUUGAUAACUUGAGCACAAUGUCUAGCAUGCAUUUCCGCAGAAGACUUUGAACUGGGGGCAUAACUGUUAAAAUGAAGGUUUAGCAUAUUUGCCAUUCAAGGAGAAAAAAUUCUGCUUCUGUUGCUGAGUACAAUGGUGCAUUUAUUAGUUCAACACUUCAAUUUAUAUUAGAUGACAUUUGCCUUC
RNA transcript from Neltuma alba, 2272 nucleotides. It is a transcript of the gene named ankyrin repeat and zinc finger domain-containing protein 1, with no coding region annotated. The transcript is spliced from 9 exons. The record is from RefSeq and is a predicted model, not a curated record. Lineage: Eukaryota; Viridiplantae; Streptophyta; Magnoliopsida; Fabales; Fabaceae.